Molecule: ribosomal RNA, 292 nt
Filed under: uncultured bacterium
Lineage: Bacteria
Description: partial 16S ribosomal RNA
Rfam family: Bacterial small subunit ribosomal RNA
Source: RNAcentral
GUGUCAGCAGCCGCGGUAAUACGUAGGGGGCAAGCGUUGUCCGGAUUUAUUGGGCGUAAAGCGCGUGUAGGCGGCCACGCAGGUCCGCUGUGAAAACUCGAGGCUCAACCUCGAGCUGUCGGUGGAAACCGCGUGGCUAGAGUCCGGAAGAGGAGACUGGAAUUCCCGGUGUAGCGGUGGAAUGCGCAGAUAUCGGGAGGAACACCCGUGGCGAAGGCGGGUCUCUGGGACGGUACUGACGCUGAGACGCGAAAGCGUGGGGAGCGAACAGGAUUAGAUACCCCCGUAGUCC